UGUGCUCACCCCUGCAUUUCCCCCAAUGGGUGGAUACUGAUGUUAUUAUCCUCAUUUUACAGAGACGAACCCGAGGCUCAGAGAAAUUAAGUCACAUGCCUGAGGUCACAUAGAUCCUAGGAGCUGUGAGAUUCAGGAUUCCGAAGUCUGACUUAAAGUCUGUGUUUUCCCCACGGGGCUUUUGAACUUGACCUCACCCUUUGCCAUUUAUGUUGCCUUUUGCAUU
Molecule: non-coding RNA, 226 nt
Organism: Callorhinus ursinus (northern fur seal)
Lineage: Eukaryota; Metazoa; Chordata; Mammalia; Carnivora; Otariidae
Source: RefSeq, a predicted model, not a curated record